UGACGUUUGUGUUUCUUCAGGAGGUAUGUACACUGGUUUUCUUUAGCUAGUCUAUUAAGCUGCUGUAUGCUUCCAGUUGCUUUGUGCUUUCUUCAUUUGCACCUUUUCUUUGUUUCAUUUAACAGAUAUUUCAUUUCAUAAAAAUGAAAAUGGUUUUACGUCUGAGUCAUUGUUUGUUCAUUUGAACUGGUUUGACAUUUGCUGCGUUGUUGUGCUGCGCUCACAAUGGGCUUGUGAUGUUUGUGAGACACUUACGGUCCGCUUUCUGCGUUGCCAUGGAGUCGACGGUGUUAGUUAAACUUGGGAUGUUUCAUUGGUCUCUGCUGCACCCGUGUGAUCAGUUGAAGUAAUGCAGCUCUCCAGUCUUCACAUGCUAUGGACGCAAAUGUGCUCGCUUAUUGAUUUGUACAUUUUGAUAGAACUUAAUAAAACAAAUAAGCAAGAAAACUGGAAGAGUGGAAACCUUAAUGUAAGCAAAAUUGUUUGUGAGAUGAGUUUUUUUUUUUAAAGCUAUUUGAUAACUUGCAUUUUGUUUUCUAGGCAAUAAAAGAUUGACAUAGAUAUUUAUUUAUCGGUGAAGAACACUAAUUUUUUACAAAAUGUUUUUGUUCUCUUGUUACUUUUGCUCUUACCACGAAGACGACGAAAAAGAAUCAUUUGGAAACUUACGAAACGACUUAAAGGGAUAGUUCACCCUAAAAUGAAAUUCGGUCAUAAUUUAUUUACCCUCAUUUCAAACCUUCUGCAGAACACAAAAGAAGAUAUUUUGAAGAAUGUUGGUAGCUGAACAAUAUCGCUCCCCAUUCUCCUCUAUUGUAUGAACACAAAACCAAUGCAAGUCAAUGGGUGUCAGUUAACAACAUUCUUCAAAAUAUCAUCUUUUGUGCUCACAAGUUUGACAUUUUCAUUUCUGGGUGAACGAUCACUUUAAAGCACAUCAAAGCCAUACAGUUUAUCAUUAUGUGCCUUCUCUAUGACAUUGUCGUUGCUAGUGCCAUUCUCUACCAGCUGAGCUACAGAAACACUUUAUUUUCUUACUAAUGUACUCACUAACAUCUGAUUCAGUGGGUUUCUUAACAUGUAUGCUAAUGGGGUGUGUUUAGGUGAGACGAAUUUUGUGCCAUCCAUCUGCUAAUGUGAGCGUACAUGUGUCUGUCUGCUGCUCUGCAUCAGUCUUCAUCUUGCAAACGUGUCUCUGCUCUCCAAAUUCAUCAGAGUUACCAAUACGCUUUCUAAACAAUGACAUCAUCAGUAUGCUUGUAUCUGACCCACAGGGGGACGUGUGAAAACGUGGAAGAGGAGAUGGUUCAUUUUGACGGACAACUGUCUCUAUUACUUUGAGUACACCACGGAUAAAGAGCCAAGAGGGAUCAUUCCUCUGGAAAAUCUCAGUAUUAGGGAAGUGGAGGACUCCAAGAAGCCAAAUUGCUUUGAACUCUUCAUCCCUGACAACAAGGAUCAGGUCAUAAAAGCGUGUAAAACCGAAGCAGACGGACGGGUUGUGGAGGGAAAUCACACCUUCUACCGCAUCUCAGCCCCGACCACAGAGGAGAAGGAGGAGUGGAUGAACAGCAUCAAGGCUGCCAUAAGCAGAGAUCCUUUCUAUGAAAUGCUUGCUGCCCGGAAAAAGAAAGCCUCAUCUUUGAAGAGACAGUAGGACCUCUUAUACUGUAUUUGAACAUGGAUAUUCAAGGCCAUGAACAGGAUCUUUGUACAUGGACCUGAAGAAGGAAAAGGGCAAAUGAAACGCGAAAGCCAUAACGUUGGAUCGGACCGUUUUUCUCAGGAAUGACCUUGAGUUUUGAAGUUUAUCAGAGCAAGUAUUCUGCGAAGUUGCGUUACAAUUAUACGUUUAAUGCUUUCAAGAACUGCACAUGGAAAGAAUACUCGUGCACAUCAUCACAAAUCAGCAGGUCUGAGUGAAUGUGGCAUCUCAUUAACCUUUUAUAAGCUUGCUGCAGACACGACUGUUUCUCUUUGUGCUUUGAUACAUAUACAAAUGCUUCAUGUGCACCUAUUUUUACACUGCUAUGUAAAUUUCUGGGAAGGCUUGGUCCCUGGUUUGUUAGAGACUGUCUGACGGCAUCGUGUUUGUACAUUUAUUUUUUUGUUUUUAAAUUUGCCAAAGUUUGUCAUUUUGUCCCACUCCCGUGUGAUAAUUAACACCGCUGUAAUGAGUGUUUUUCUGAUCCAUGAAUUGAAAAUUAUAGUUUAAUUUUGGUUCUGUUUAUUUGGCUUAAACAGUUAUUUAAGAGUAGUUCUGUACCGCUCUUCACUUAUCUCAUAGGUGGCCUUGAAAGACUGUGAAAAUUGAAAAAAUAUCUUUAGUAUGCUUCAUAUUUAUGAAACAAUGUAAACGCUGUUACAGAAUCGAACUACUGAUUUAAACGUUUAUUUUUCUUAGGUUUUGUAUUUUGCCACCUUUAAAUGUAUUUCUUAAAUUAAUGUAUAUGUAAGCCCCCCCCAAACAAAACAAAACACACACACUUUUUUCUUAUAUGCACUGAUAAUUUAAGUCUCUCAAUUACUAAUGUAUCAAUGCUGUACAUAUUUAAACAUAUAGUUUGUUUUUAUUUUUUAAUGUCAAAAUAUACUUUGUGCAAAAGUAUGGAGUAAAGAAAAGGUUUUUGCCUGUUAAGUUUAUUUCUCCAUUGCUGUGUAAUCUUGUGCUUAAAAUAAAGUUGAUAUCUUAAGCUUA
This is a long non-coding RNA of Triplophysa rosa, 2698 nucleotides long. RefSeq lists it as uncharacterized. The record is from RefSeq and is a predicted model, not a curated record. NCBI's taxonomy places the organism in Eukaryota, Metazoa, Chordata, Actinopteri, Cypriniformes, Nemacheilidae. The transcript is spliced from 4 exons.